This 508-nucleotide ribosomal RNA is filed under the name uncultured bacterium. RNAcentral describes it as "bacterial SSU rRNA". It matches the Rfam family "Bacterial small subunit ribosomal RNA", at positions 9 to 513 of the family's 1533-position model. The record is from RNAcentral.
GAGUUUGAUCGUGGCUCAGAUUGAACGCUGGCGGCAGGCCUAACACAUGCAAGUCGAGCGGUAGAGAGAAGCUUGCUUCUCUUGAGAGCGGCGGACGGGUGAGUAAUGCCUAGGAAUCUGCCUGGUAGUGGGGGAUAACGCUCGGAAACGGACGCUAAUACCGCAUACGUCCUACGGGAGAAAGCAGGGGACCUUCGGGCCUUGCGCUAUCAGAUGAGCCUAGGUCGGAUUAGCUAGUUGGUGAGGUAAUGGCUCACCAAGGCGACGAUCCGUAACUGGUCUGAGAGGAUGAUCAGUCACACUGGAACUGAGACACGGUCCAGACUCCUACGGGAGGCAGCAGUGGGGAAUAUUGGACAAUGGGCGAAAGCCUGAUCCAGCCAUGCCGCGUGUGUGAAGAAGGUCUUCGGAUUGUAAAGCACUUUAAGUUGGGAGGAAGGGCAGUAAAUUAAUACUUUGCUGUUUUGACGUUACGACAGAAUAAGCACCGGCUAACUCUGUGCCAGCA